UCUUUUNNANACCUAGUAAUAGGUAUGCUUUAGGAGGGGCUUGCGCCAUAUUAGUUAGUUGGUAGGGUAAUGGCCUACCAAGACGAUGAUGUGUAGCUGGACUGAGAGGUUGAACAGCCACAUUGGGACUGAGACACGGCCCAAACUCCUACGGGAGGCAGCAGUAGGGAAUUUUCGGCAAUGGAGGAAACUCUGACCGAGCAACGCCGCGUGAAUGACGAAGUACUUCGGUAUGUAAAGUUCUUUUAUCAAGGAAGAAAAGCAAAUGGCGAACCAUUUGUUUGCCGGUACUUGAUGAAUAAGCCCCGGCUAAUUAUGUGCCAGCAGCCGCGGUAAGACCAUAAGGGGCAAGUGUUAUCCGGAAUUAUUGGGCGUAAAGGGUGCGUAGGCGGUCUAGUAAGUCAGUGGUGUAAUGGCAACGCUUAACGUUGUCCGGCUAUUGAAACUGCUAAACUUUGAGUUAGAUAGAGGCGAGUGGAAUUCCAUGUGUAGCGGUAAAAUGCGUAAAUAUAUGGAGGAACACCAGAGGCGUAGGCGGCUCGCUGGGUCUUAACUGACGCUGAGGCACGAAAGCGUGGGGAGCAAACAGGAUUAGAUACCCUGGUAGUCCACGCCGUAAACGAUGAGUACUAAGUGUCGGGUUAAACCGGUACUGAAGUUAACACAUUAAGUACUCCGCCUGAGUAGUACGUACGCAAGUAUGAAACUUAAAGGAAUUGACGGGACUCCGCACAAGCGGUGGAUCAUGUUGUUUAAUUCGAAGAUACCCGAAAAACCUUACCAGGUCUUGACAUGUUUUUGCAAAAUGAUAGUAAUAUCGUGGAGGUUACCAGAAACACAGGUGGUGCAUGGUUGUCGUCAGCUCGUGUCGUGAGAUGUUAGGUUAAGUCCUAAAACGAGCGAAACCCUUAUCGUUAGUUGCCAGCACGUUAUGGUGGGGACUUUAACGAGACUGCCAAUGAUAAAUUGGAGGAAGGUGAGGAUCACGUCAAAUCAGCAUGCCCCUUAUGACCUGGGCUACAAACGUGAUACAAUGGCUGUUACAAAGGGUAGCUGAAACGCAAGUUCUUGGCCAAUCCCCAAAAACAGUCCCAGUCCGGAUUGAAGUCUGCAACUCGACUUCAUGAAGUUGGAAUCGNCUAGUAAUCGCGAA
This 1153-nucleotide ribosomal RNA is filed under the name 'Medicago sativa' witches'-broom phytoplasma. RNAcentral's name for it is "bacterial SSU rRNA". It matches the Rfam family "Bacterial small subunit ribosomal RNA", at positions 191 to 1348 of the family's 1533-position model. The record is from RNAcentral. Lineage: Bacteria; Bacillati; Mycoplasmatota; Mollicutes; Acholeplasmatales; Acholeplasmataceae.